This 369-nucleotide ribosomal RNA is filed under the name uncultured Russulaceae. RNAcentral's name for it is "eukaryotic LSU rRNA". Lineage: Eukaryota; Fungi; Basidiomycota; Agaricomycetes; Russulales; Russulaceae. The record is from RNAcentral.
CUUGCGCCCCUUGUCAUUCCGAGGGGGACACCUCGUUUGAGUGUCCAUGAAAUUCUCAAAACCCUUUCUUUUUGGUCUUUCNAUCGAAGAAAGGCUUUUGGACUUGGAUGCUUUUUGACAUGGUUUCACCUUGAAGCGAGCUCCUCCUAAAUGAAUCANUGGGGCUCCUGCUUUGCUGAUCCUUGACNUCGAUAANAUGUUUCUACGUCUUGAGUUUUGGCACUGUCCCUAUGGUGCAUCCUGCUUCAAACCGUCUCAUUGACACUGAUGGUGUUCCGGUCACCGCCGCUUCGUCGGCGGGAGGCUUGACCCACAAAUGAACCUUGACCUCAAAUCGGGUGAGACUACCCGCUGAACUUAAGCAUAUCA